AAGACCCCUACGUUUAAGACCCCUCCCAUCUCUCUCUCUCUCCCCCUUUUCUCCCUCUGCUUCUCUGCUUCAAAAUUGGAGUCAAUCAAUGCUGACCCUUCCAAAAACUCUGUCAAGGCAACUUUAUCUCAUAUUAUUAAGGUAAAUUUUGUCUUUCUUUUUCUAUUUUUCACUUGUUUACAACUAUUAGACUAGGGUUUAGGCUUAGAAAUAAUGCGUUAAAAAUGCUCAUUGUGUUUAAACGAGAUGACGAUGGAUUUCAGAGUAGUUGAAUAAAUUAGUGUUGUUAUGAGGUUUUUUGUAAGUUACUAGUAUUGUCCUAUUGUAAAUUGUGGUGUUUUUUGGGCGAAUAUACUACUAGGCUGGGGACCUAGUGCUAAUUUUAUUGAUAAUAGAAAAAGCCGCAAAAGAAAAAGUUCAAGUAAGAGGAGCAAGUUAAAAGCAACAGGAGUAGUAUAGUAUCCAAAUGCUUUGGCUUUAUCAUUAAGCACCACUAUGCUCUAGCCAGGUGCAAUGAUCUCAAAACCAACUCGCGUAACUCCCUAAGGCAAAGUGGAUAAACGACAACCACUGUGCUAGACCUUACCUUACAAUUCCUACCGAGGCAUGAACAACAUCAAUUACUAGCAAGCAUGUAACAAAUAAGAACUAAAAAGAACCAAUUCGAUGAUCAUCAUAGAAUUUAUAACAUUCUGUGAUGAUAUUACAUAUGAUGAUGCUAAGAUAAUGAUAAAAUAAAACAAGGAAGAAUGUAGAAUCAAACCCCUUUCUUCUGUGGGUUUGUGAAAUCUUCAAGGAGAUGUAGCCCAACACUAAUCUUAAUCUUCACCUUGUCUUUUUACUCCAAUCUCUCUAAGAUGUCUUGAUACUUUAUCCUUUUUUUUCCCGACCUAUCAGACCUUGUUGAGGUGGUAGAAGCCGCUAUCUUUUUCUUUGCAACUCUUAAGUGGAAGCUGCCGAAAAGCAACCUCCUCAGUGUAAGCGUUACUGUGUUAAAACAGAAUCAGAAAACUUAGAAGAGUAAAGAAAUGUAGAAAAUAGUAGAGAAUUACAAAUAUUCCGAGUCCACAAUUUUCUUGUGCGUCCUUAAGGAAUUUUAACCCCCUCACACGUUGNNNNNNNNNNNNNNNNNNNNNNNNNNNNNNNNNNNNNNNNNNNNNNNNNNNNNNNNNNNNNNNNNNNNNNNNNNNNNNNNNNNNNNNNNNNNAUAAAUCCCCCCAGGAUAAAACGGAAUAAACCUUCAUGCAACAGUGGCAAUACAAACUGCAGGAUACCAAUGAACUCAAAGAACGGAGCAAAAUCACACUUACGAAUUUGAGAGAGAGAUUGCGAAUUAAGAUGCAGUAUAUUCAGAAAGAAAGAAGUUCUGGAGUGUUUUUCAUGUCUAUAAAAUGCAGCCUUGCCUCAAAUUUAUAGGCAAAUAUCAGAAGAGGUGUCUGGAAAAGGUGUCUUUUCAGCAAAUACGCAGCCUGCCGCGGUUCUACCGCGGUCGCGGCAGAAACGCGGCCAGCUAUGUUCUCUGAACUUUCAGCAGGGUUCUGGCGUAUUUUCAGCAGUGAUUUGACAUUUAAUUAAUUAUUAAAUAAUUAAAUAACAACAACAACAACAACUACCCAGUAUAGUCCCACAAAGUGGGGUCUGGGGAGGGUAAUAGGUAGUGCUAUGUUAUAGUCUUCCGCACUUUGUUAAAAUUUCUGUUAAAAGUCUUCCACGCAUUUUACUUAAUUAUUUCGGUUAUUAUGGUAUUUAGAUUAAAUUUUAUGGAAUAUUUUAAAAAGGGUUGGUUUGCCUAGCUCCUACAGUAGGCGCCAUCACAACUCCCGAUAGUGGGAAAAACUUGGGUCGUGACAGAAGCCGAGCCGAGCGAGCGACGACGACGGUGCGAGGGUUCAUUCUCUUCAACUCCUUUUAAGAGAUUUAAGUAGUGAUUCUAUAUAUAAACACACAAAUGUGGUUGUCCCUCACCAAUAAGGGACAAAGUGCAAGACAAAAGUUCACUUCCUCAAAUUUUCAAUUUUCCUCCAUUUUCAAUUCACACUUCUUCUACUUUAAAGCCAAAUGGCUUAAAGUAUUUAACAAUCCCCCACAUGAAUGGGAAUGGCUGUAUCAAGAAAGAUCAUAGAUGAAAGCUAUGUAAUUUUGCUAGUAAGGAUUAAUUGCAUCUGGAUAAGUAGGUUUCCCUUUGAACUUCCCGUAGUGAACGUAUGUCGGAUAUACUCGGUCGAUCAGUAGAUUUGAUAUGUUUGAAUCGUCGAAUUUUAGUGUAUACCUAGACAACUAUGUCACACAACCAACCCUUAACUGUCUUUUGGUUCUCAUUGUUGUGUUUGUUUUAGCCAUGUACACCGCCUGGUUUCAUAAGUGCGUAAAGAAUUGGCCUUACAGAAUUCCCAUUGAAGCGGCUUCCACUUCGCACUUACAUAGGUGAUUCCUAAAUGUGUAAUCCUUUAGAUUGACACUAUUUGAUAUACCUCAUCAAACAUAGGUAAUCAUUAAAGAACGUGUAAAGUUUUAUCCUUGUAACUGAACAUUGUCUUCAUCACGAGAAUUGACCAAAGUUUUUUUUUAUUAUUUUGACAAUGUUGAACCGGUCAAUCAUAACUUUGUUUGAGCUCCUUGAACCUAGAUCUCGAGAAUGGACCAAAGUUUUUAUUUUGACAAUGUUGUACCGGUCAAUCACAACUUUGUUUAAUCUCGGAACGUCCAAAAUAUCUAGAUAGAGUUACCGCCAUGUUGACUUGUCCUCGGCCAUAGUCCCAUUCCCUUAGAUGAUUUAUCAACUCCCUCUCUAGUUAAGCCUUUUGUAAGCGGAUCCGCAACAUUAUCAUUUGAUCUUACAUAAUCAAUAGUGAUUAUUCCACUAGAAAGUAGUUGUCUAACGGUAUUAUGUCUUCGUCGUAUAUGACGAGACUUUCCGUUAUACAUAACGCUCCCUGCCCGUCCUAUUGCAGCCUCACUAUCGCAAUGUAUGCAGAUAUGAGCCAAAGGUUUUGGCCAGAACGGAAUGUCUUUUAAAAAAUUCCGAUGCCAUUCAGCUUCUUCACCGGCGUUAUCUAAUGCUAUAAACUCUGAUUCCAUUGUAGAGCGAGCAAUGCACGUCUGUUUGGAAGACUUCCAAGAUACUUCUCCUCCACCAAUAGUAAACACAUAUCCACUUGUGACUUUAUCUCUGUUGAGCCAAUUUUCCAAUUUGCAUCACUAUAUCCUUCGAUACACCAACAAUAAACACAUAUCCACUUGUGGACUUUGUUUAUGUUGAGCCGGUUAUCUAAUUUGUAUAUCCUUCGAUAACUUCAGGAUAUUUAUUGUAGUGCAAAGCGUAGUCUUGGGUAUACUCCAAGUAUUCCAGAACUCGUUUCAUUGCCACCCAGUGAUGUUUGUUGGGAUUACUGUGAAUCGACUAAGUUUACUUAUUGCACAAGCUAUAUCAGGUCGUGCACAGUUCAUGAUGUACAUUAAGCUUCCAACACACGAGCAUACUCCAAUUGAGACGUACUUUCACCUUUAUUCUUCUUAAAAUGAUGAUUUAAGUCAAUUGGAGUCCUUGCACUUCUAAAUUCCAAGUGUUUGAAUUUUUCAAGUACCAUUNNNNNNNNNNNNNNNNNNNNNNNNNNNNNNNNNNNNNNNNNNNNNNNNNNNNNNNNNNNNNNNNNNNNNNNNNNNNNNNNNNNNNNNNNNNNNNNNNNNNNNNNNNNNNNNNNNNNNNNNNNNNNNNNNNNNNNNNNNNNNNNNNNNNNNNUCAAGCAUACACUUAGUAGCUUGAAUGUCGGCAAUGUCUUUGCUCAUUAUUAGCAUAUCAUCAANNNNNNNNNNNNNNNNNNNNNNNNNNNNNNNNNNNNNNNNNNNNNNNNNNNNNNNNNNNNNNNNNNNNNNNNNNNNNNNNNNNNNNNNNNNNNNNNNNNNNNNNNNNNNNNNNNNNNNNNNNNNNNNNNNNNNNNNNNNNNNNNNNNNNNNNNNNNNNNNNNNNNNNNNNUCAUUGAAAGCAGCAACUUGAAAUGCUUUGUUUGGGUGCUUAUUUUAGUCCAUAAAGAGACUUAACAAGUCUACACGCCUUCUUUUCUUUUCCCAGAAUCACAAACCCUUCAGGUUGGUUCAUGUGAAUUUCUUCCUCAAGAUCACCAUUUAAGAAGGCUGUUUUUACAUCCAUUCGAUGGAUUUGAAGACCAUACAAGGCGGAUAACGUUAUUAGCAUCCGAAUGGAUGUAAUUCUUGUUACCGGCGAGUAUGUGUCAAAAUAAUCAAGACCUUCUCGUUGUCUAAAUCCUUUGACAACAAGUCUUGCCUUGUAUUUGUCAAUAGUGCCAUCUUCUUUCAUUUUCUUCUUGAAAAUCCAUUUAGAACCCAACAUUUUGUUAUCUGGAGGAAGAUCGACCAAUUCUCAAGUAUGAUUGCUCAAUAUCGAUUCUAUUUCACUAUUGACAGCUUCUUUCCAGUAUGGUGCCUAUGAGGAAGACAUUGCUUCCUUGAAGGUACGAGGUUCAUUUUCUAACAGAAAAGUAACGAAAUCUGGACCGAAUGAAAUAGAUGUCCUUUGACGUUUACUUCUUCUCAGAUUUUCCUCAUUAGGCAUACCAUCUGUUGUUUCCUCCCGAGGUCGUUUUGAGUUUUGGCAGGUCACUUCACUUUCCUUUUUAUACGGAAAGAUAGAUUCAAAGAAUUCAGCAUUAUCUGAUUCUACUAUCGUAUUACUGUGAAUCUCAGGAUUUUCUGAUUUAUGAACCAAAAAAUGAUAUGCCUUGCUAUUGGUUACAUAUCCAAUAAAUCGUAUUGAUGUGAAUCUCAGGAUUUUCUGAUUUAUGAACCAGAAAACGAUAUGCCUUUCUAUUGGUUACAUAUCCAAUAAACACACAAUCAACCGUUUUUUGACCUAUCUUAACCCUUUUAGCUAAACACUCCCACACUUUGAAGUAUUUCAAGCUAGGCUUCCUUCUUUCCACUUCUCAUAAGGAAUGGACUGUAUUUUACUAUGAGGUACACGGUUGAUUAUUCGGUUAGCUGUAAGUAUAGCUUCCCCCCACAAGUUUUGUGGUAAGCCAGAACUUAUCAGCAAUGCAUUGAUCAUCUCCUUCAAUGUUCAAUUCUUUCUCUCUGCAAUUCCAUUAGAUUGUGGAGAGUAAGGGGCGUUUGUUUGGUGAAUAAUGCAAUUUUCCAAACAUAUUUCUUCAAAAGGAGAUUCAUAUUCGCCACCCAUAUCACUUCUUAUCAUUUUGAUCUUUUUGUUUUGUUGCGUUUCAACUUCAUUCUUGUAUUGCUUGAAAGCAUCAAUUGCCUCGUCUUUACUAUUAAGUAAAUAAACAUAGCAAUAUCUCGUGCUAUCGUCAAUAAAAGUAAUAAAAUACUUUUUCCCGAUGUCAUCUUCAAUGCAAUCUUGCCAACCCUUUCAAUUUUGGCCGUAGAUGAAUUUCCCGUGACAUUUCCAAUGCAAUCUUGCCAACCCUUUCAAUUUUGGCCGUAGAUGAAUUUCCCAUGAAGAUUGUCUCGUCGGGUCCUGCGGGGGCAUAAGAAGAAAAUAAUUCCUUGUUAGCACACACAUGGCGGGUGGCUCCAGAAUCUAUCUACCAUUCUUUCUGGUUUCCUACCAAGUUGCAUUCAAACAACAUGACACAUAAGUCCUCCAUUUCAUCUUCAAACAUGUUAGCUUGAUUCUUUUUCUUCUUAUCAUUCUUUGGCGUACGACAAUCUACUGCCUUAUGCCCAGUUUUUCCAUAAUUAUGGCAAUUACCCUUGAACUUCUUCUUGCUUGGAUAAUUCUUUGGUCCAGAGGCCUUCUUCCUCUUCUUAUUUUGUGGUGCCUCCUCAACAACGUUUNNNNNNNNNNNNNNNNNNNNNNNNNNNNNNNNNNNNNNNNNNNNNNNNNNNNNNNNNNNNNNNNNGUGCCUCCUCAACAACGUUUGCCCCCAUUAUUGUCGAGUGUCCACGUGACUUCUUUUCAGCAUUUUUGUUGUCUUCUUCUAUCCUUAGACGAACAAUCAAAUUUUCUAAUCUCAUCUCCUUUCGCUAAAUAGUUCUUAAAAUCCUUUCAUAACGGAGGUAACUUCUCAUUGAAAGCAGCGACUUGAAAUGCUUCAUUUAUGACCAUACCUUCAAUAAGAAACUUAUAAUUAGUAAUAAGAUAGAUCUUAUUAAUAAAAUUAUUGACUCGGGUCAUACCUUCAGCAAAGAGGUCAUGUACAAUGACUCGUAGUUCUUGGACUUGAGUUAUGACCGACCUAGUAUCAAUCCUCUUGAAAUCCAGAAACCUUGCAGCCACGAACUUCUUAAGUUCGGCAUCCUCAGUCUUGUACUUCUUCUCAAGCGCAUUCCAUAAGGCUUUUGAAGUUUCCAUGACACUAUAGACAUUAUACAAACCAUCUUCCAAACAACUCAGAAUGUAGAUUCUGCACAAAAAUUGAAAUGUUUCCAUGCUUCAGUUACAACAAGUCGUUCAUCAUCCGGAGUGUUUUCUGCCAAGACCGGAGGAUCCUCCUUGAUGAAACGUUGCAGACUCAACGUAGUAAGAUAGAAGAGCAUCUUUAUUUGCCAGCAUUUGAAGUCAAUACCGGAAAACUUUCAGGUUUUUCCGCCGGUGCCAUAGCAUGGGCAGGAGUAGAACGGCUUGACGAGGCAGCAACACUUGUAACAGUAGCACCCGUUCCCGCAACACUUCCAUUAGUUUGGUUUUCAUUCGUCAUAUUUCUGUAAAGUUGAAAACAAUAAAGAACUUUGUUAAAUCAGUGAAGUUUUGAUAUCUUCAAACUGAAUUCCAAACCAAACAUACAACACGUAACAAUGGUGAAGUUUUUAUAUACUUCAAAACCAGUACGUUUAUUAUUCCGGUAAAGUUUUUAUGUACUUUAAACCGGACAGAAACAGUUAUUGGAGUAGAAAGCAAUAAGGCUUUAGUCUCCAACAAAGUAUAUGGUAAACAGUUUAAUAAUCAACACAGAAACGUUAGUAGUUAAAAUUCCUUAAGCUUGUAAGCGUUACUGUGUUAAAACAAAAUCAGAAAAACUUAGAAGAAUAAAGAAAUGUAGAAAAUAGUAGAGAAUUAGAAAUAUUCCGAGUCCACAAUUUUUUUGUGCGUGUCUAAGAAAUUUUAACCCCCUCACACGUUGCCAAGGUAAUGGAUUAAAUCCUCCCAGGAUAAAACGGAAUAAACCUUCCUGCAACAUUGGUAAUACAAACUGCAGGAUACCAACGAACUCAACAAACGGAGCAAAAUCACACUUACGAAUUUGAGAGAGAGAGAGGCUGCGAAUACAAUACAAACUGCAGGAUACCGACGAACUCAAAGAACGAGUAAAAUCGCACUUACGAAUUUGAGAGAAAGACUGCGAAUUAAGAUGCAGUAUAUUCAGAAAGAAGUUCUGGAGUGUUUUUCAUGUCUAUAAGAUGCAGCCUUGCCUCAGAAUUUAUAGGCAAAUACCAGAAGAGGUGUCUGGAAAAGGUACCUUUUCAACAAAUACGCAGUCUGCCGCGGUUCUACCACGAUCGCGGCAGAACCACAGUCAGAGAUGCUCUCUUAAACUGACUGCCGCGGUUCCGCGGUCGCGGCGAAACGCGGCCAGCUAUGUUCUCUGAACUUUCAGCAGGGUUCUGGCGUAUUUUAAGCAACGAUUUGGUAUUUAAUUAAUUAUUAAAUAAUUAAAUAAAUUUUGUCCAAAAAUAAUCUUAUCGAUCGAUUUGACAAAUCCAAAUCCAAAGCCGAGCCGACCGAGUGACGACGACGGCGCGAGGGUUCAUUCUCUUCAACUUUUUUUAAGAGAUUUAAGAAUUAAUUCUAUAUAUAAACACAUAAAUGUGGUUGUCCCUCACCAAUGAGGGACAAAGUGCAACACAAAAGUUCACUUUUUCAAAUUUUCAAUUUCCCUCCAUUUUAUUUCCCUCAAUUUCCAAUUCACACUUCUUCUACUUUAAAGCCAAAUGGCUUAAUGUAUUCAACACUCAGUCACCUUACCAUCCCAACUAGGUUGGCAUUCAUGUCUUCUUUUUAGUUUGUUGUAUCCUCUUCUUUGCUGCCUAGGUGAGAGACCUCCAUCCCUAGUCACAUUAACAAAACAUUCAUCCAACACGUCAUCCUCAUCCUCCUCGUCAAAUAUGUCAAUGCCCAUAUCACCACAAAAGCUUCAGUUGAACUAGGUCCUAAAACUAAAACCCUAGCUCAUGUCUCUUGGCUACUAUUCCAGGCUUGGAGGUAAUGUCUAAGCUCUUUUUAUUGUUAUCAAUAGCAUUCAAUGUGUCCAUAUCAUGAGAGAGAAGAGCAUGAAUGAUGUCUCUAUUUGCCAAUUUAACUUUUAUAUCACUUAAAUUCAGACUCUUCAAAGUACCAAGAGUGCCCUACUUGAGUUAAAAAAUUGUGUUGCUUUACACGAAGGCACAGAAGGAGACCCUUGGCGUUACUCGUAAAGUUGUUGCCAUGUGACUAGGAGGUCAAGGGUUCGAGCCGUGAAAACAACCCCUUGCAGAAAUGCAGGGUAAGACUGUGUACAAUAAACUCUUGUAACGAGGCGUUUACCCGGACCCCGCGCAUAGUGAGAGCUUAGUGCAUCGGCGAUUCCUUUUUUUUUCUUUUUACACGAAGGCACAAAUGGAGGUGCUUGAGGGCUCAACUUGCUCCUAGGAGGAGAAAUAAUCUGCUCUUCUUCAUCAACCAAAUCAGCCCACCUAGGAGCACUUGUAGUACCUUUUGGCUUCUUAGAAAUAAUCAUAUCAUUUGUGGAACUAGCUUGGGAGAUUGAAGGCAUACCUUUAUUCAAAUUUUUAAUUCCUUGGAGAUAAUAAGAGCUGCCUGAAUUCACGUUAAUAAUCGCCAAAUGACUCCAAAAGAUUGUGAAGGAACAUCAUGAACCGAGGUGUUCAAUGUGACCAUAGGUGGCUUGACCAGUGUUAUCAAAAGUGAAAAGAUCAAAAAAGCUCUAAGGUUAGUUGGGGCUUUAAGCGCAAAGCGCAAAAUAAAGCCUGGGCUUUAAUGGAAAAGGCACAAAUGGAGAAAAACUACAAAUAUGUAUGUGUAGUCUAUGACUAUUAUCGACAAGCAUGAAUAUCAAAUAUAUGGACAAAGAAAUUGAAGAAAAUUUACGAUAAAGUAAAAUAUCAAUUGUUUAGUGUUGCCUCUUUAGGAUUACAUUCAUUGGCAAAGAAAAGUAUGUCUAGAGCCUUGAUGACAACACUGCAUGCUAAGCGAGGCAAAGCGCUCAACAUGUUUUGAGCCUCGCUUCAGGGCUUAAGCGCGCCUUCGAUAACACUGGGCUUGACCUUAUUGGUACUUAUCAACAUGGGAGUUUGAGUUUUUUAAAUAAUUUUUACUACUUCAGGAUUGAAAAUAUGCAGCAGCUGCAUUACUAUCUUUUCCAGCAGUUUUCAGAAGAGAAUCAAAGGUAUUUAAACAGAUAAGGUGCUUUGAGAUAGAAACUUGGACAUUCACUACCUGCUUCUGUUUUGUCACCCUUGGAGAACCACUUACUAUCUUAGCUAAAUCUGGAUUAGGAAUUACCAAUGUAGGCGUUUCCAAAGUGUUUUCCUGGCCAUCCCUUAGUCCAAAGAACAGAAUUAGGACUUAAAAUAUGCGAGGACAAAUAUCGAGCACCUGACUUGCCCACCUUUGCUGCACAUUGGUGCAAUCUACAGGACCCUAUUUUGCCUGGUACUACAGUUCAGCCUGCACCAUUGUUAUUCUCCAAACCCAGUCCUUGUAGCAGUAAAAGGAUUCCCUAGCACGAUCGCAAGCUGUGCAGAGGCAACAAGACCCUUUUACACUUGAUCAGCUGUAGGAUUCACCCCAUGCUCAACAUGAAUUACGUUAUUCUUUAUGGUAAUAAGCUGGUUAUUACGUUCAGUACCAGUAACAUUGUUGACCACUACUAAUUCCCUAUCUUCCGUACAAUUUACUACCCGUUUAGUAGUAUUAUCUGAAGCUGAAUUUGGCUCCUUGUCAAUCACCUUCUUCUUUGCUAAUUUUUAAUUAUUAUUAUUGAAAAAAAAUGAUCAACUGCAGUAGUUUUAUUAUUUAUGUGUUAGGAGUAAAUUAUUUUAUUCCAUUAUUGGUGUUUUUUGUAUAUCUUGUGUGUAUAGAGAAGAUGACUUCUCAGAAAAGUAAGGAAAGAAAAAGGAAUUAAUGCAUCUUUUUCAGUUGCUCCUAGCCAAAGAGCUAGGACUACAGCUUAGCAAAAAAACAAGUGGUAAAUAAAUUAAAGCAUUCAAUCAUCUAAGAAAUUAGUUGGAAAUAACCCAUUGACCAUCACACCUUAUCAAUCCAUAUCAUGUAACUCUUAGACAACAGAUAUAAGUCUACAGAUGUUGAAACUUCUAAUAUUAACUUAUUAUAGAAUGUUACUUGACAGAUAUAAGUCUACAGUAUGUUGAAACUUCUAAUAUUAACUUAUUAUAGAAUGUUACUUGUCUUAUGUAGCGGAAAUGAGGAUGUUGAGACGGAUGUGUGGGCAUACUAGGUUGGAUAGAAUUAAGAAUGAAGUUAUUCGAGACAAAGUGGGAGUGGCCCCUGUGGAGGCAAAGAUGCGUGAGGCAAGGUUGAGAUGGUUCGGGCAUGUUAAGAGGAGAAGUGCAAAUGUCCCUGUCAGGAGAUGUGAGAGGUAGGCCUUAGGAGGUGAGAGGAGGGGUAGAGGUAGGCCAAAAAAGUCUUGGGGAGAGGUGAUUAGGCGGGACAUGGCGAAACUUGAGCUAACCAAGGAUAUGACUCUAGAUAGAAGGGUGUGGAGGUUGAAGAUUUGGGUAGAAGGUUAGUAGGUAGUCGUGCAUCUCCCUUUUUCUUCUCUAUCUCGAUAGUAUUAGCGCUAGUACGGUACCUUUUUUCCUUAGUUUGCUAUAUUCGCAUGUCUUGUUUCGUUGUUACUUGCCAUUGAUAAUUCCGUAGUUUACUAGCAGUACUUUGUUCAUAUUCUUGUAUGCUGCCUUGGAUUUAGUUUUUUAAAUUUGUUAUCUUGCUACAACUUGUUCAGAGAACGAAGGUUGCGGAGAUGUGGAUGCUCAGGUGGGUGUGCGGGCUUACUAGGUUAGAUAAGAUUAAGAAUGAAGUUAUUCGAGAGAAGGUGGGGGUGGCAUAUUCAGAGGAUGAAGGUUGCGGAGAUGAGGAUGCUUAGGUGGAUGUGCGGACACACCACGCUAGAUAAGAUUAAGAAUGAAGUUAUUCGAGAGAAGCUGGGGGUGGCCCCGGUGGAUGAGAAGAUGCGAGAAGCGAGGCUGAGGUGGUUCAGGCAUGUGCGGAGGAGAAGUCCAGAUAUCCCAGUGAGGAGUUGAGAACGGCUGGCGAUUGUCGGCGUUCGGCGAGGCAGAGGGAGGCCUAAGAGGUAUUGGGGAGAGGUGAUUCGGCAUGACAUGGCUAGAAUGCCGGUUUCCGAGGACAUGACCCUUGAUAGGAAAGUCUGGAGUUCUAGUAUGAGGAUUGUAGGAUAGGGGCCCCUAGAGUUUUCGUACUACUCACCGGGGGUUGGGUGAAGCUUUGCAGGGCUAUCCAUAAAUGAUUUGUGUUUUGGAUUGGGUCUCCCUUAUGGUAGUUACUGUAUGAUACUAUUGCAUGCUAUUUUAUUUAUGAUUCUUAUGUUUAGAUAAUUAUUUACGCUAUUUCUGCUUGACUUACUAAUGCUCUUUUGUUUUUGUUUUUUUUUCUCCCUUUCCUUCACUGAGCCGAGGGUCUAUUGGAAACAGCCUCUCUGCCCUUUCGGGUANNNNNNNNNNNNNNNNNNNNNNNNNNNNNNNNNNNNNNNNNNNNNNNNNNNNNNNNNNNNNNNNNNNNNNNNNNNNNNNNNNNNNNNNNNNNCCUUUCGGGUAGGGGUAAGGCUCGUCUACAUAUUACCCUCCCCAGACCCCACUUUGUGGGACUAUACUGGGUAGUUGUUGUUGUUGUUGUUGUUAUAUCUUGCUACAACUUGUUAUCAGUACCCUAUUCAUAUUAUUGCUAUCUCCGAUUUAGUUUUCUAAUUAUGGUUUUUCUAUUACUUGCUAUCAGGGCUUCUCUCACCUUCUUUAGCCGAGGGUCUAUCGGAAACAGUCUCUCUGCCCUUCCAGGGUAGGGGUAAGGCUGCGUACAUCCUACUCUCCCCAGACCCCACUUAUGGGACCACACUGGGUUGUUGUUGUUGUUGUUACUUGUCUUAUUACUAGUAAAGGAUGGCCCAUGCUAAGCAUGGACCCAAAAACUAUAUUGUAUAUUGGGGUUUUUUCUUAAUCCUUAUAUAAAUAGUCGAUUGAAUUCACAAUUUAUUUUUUUAGUUGGUGGUAUAAAUAUAUUAUACACCAAUUUUAUAUAUAUAUAAUAUAUAUAUAUAUAUAUAUAUAUAUAUAUGCAUCUACCUGUUAUUUUUAGUUUAAUCUGUUGGGUGGGCCAUUAGGAUCAAGUUUUGAAAAUUUAAAUAGCAAAAAUUAGAGAGUAAUCAUGAAAUAUUAAAAAUUUCAAUGUUAUACAAAACCAUAUAAACAAUAUUGAAUAGUUGAAAAGGUGCACGACUCAUUCUUAUUCAUUUUUAUUUUUAUGGUAUUUUAAUCUUUUAGUUUAAUUUGGUUCUUUCUGUUAUAAUUUUAUUCUUUUCUGCUCAAGUAUAUUUACAAGCUAUAAUGCAUGGCAAUAAUAAUAGAAUUAAACCACCCAAUGUACCUUAGAAUUAUGGAAUAUAAUUCUCUUUUAUUUAAUUUGUAAAUGCACAAUAAAAAUUCCUUUCUUUUAAUGUGGUAGUUAGAAUGUAAUUUUUGAUAAUUUUCUUGAAUUCUAACAUGAUAUCUAGCAUAUGCAUGAUAAUUUUCUUUUUAACUAAAGAUUAAAUGUUAGAUAACCCACUAUUAGUAACAACAGAUAUUUAGCAUGGAAGAACAAAUAUUAUAUGCUGCAAUUAUUGUUGUAUUAUGAAAUAAACUAUGUUAAUUUAAAAUAAAAAUAAACAAUUUUUGUUUUUGAAGUAUUACGACUGAUCAUAACUUUACAUUGAAUUGCUAAUGUUAUGUUAAACAAUGAAAAUCAGUUUGCAACUUUGAGUUCCUUUAAAAAGUUGAGGCUUCUCUAUUUUAAUAUGUAUAGAUAAAUUUAGUCUUUAGUUUUUGUGCAGAUAGAUUUUAGCUAUUCCUAUGAUUCAACUGUGUAUAGUAGUAUUAUAUAAUUUGUUAUAAAAUUGUCUCUUGCUUUUUUAAUUUAAAGUAAAGGUAUAUAUAAAGAGAUUGCACGUCCAAUCCGAAAAUAGAAUAAAAAGUUUUUUAGUAGAGUGUCUUUUCCUUACCAUGUUAUUUAAUAUUAAAAACUAAAUAAAUUGGCGUGUCAUUUUGUUGGUGGCCUCAUUUAUUUAGCAUAUCAAUGCAUGAAGAAUGAGAUCUUGAGUGUUCUUUAUUUUUAUCAUACAAAUAAUCUAAUAAUUUGUUGAGUAGGUGGCGUGCAACAUUAGAGAAUGGGCAAUCUAUUUGAAAAUAUUUGCAUGCUUUUUGAGAAAGAAAAUAUAUGCAUGGAGAAUAUUGUAGAGACAAUUUUCAGGUUUCUCUGACACCAUAUCUACUGCUUUUGAGGAUAUAAAUUGUGUUCAAACUUUACCAAAAUUACCAAAACAUAUACAAGCAAUUAUGUAAUAAAGGAUAAAAACAGGGGCAAAUAAAACUUCAAAAAGUUAUACAAGGAAUAUGCUGAUGGUUAAUGAGGCAAGCAAGGGUAAAAUUGUCAAGGCACAAAAAACUUUAUGUACCAGCUAUAGUACAAUUACCCUUAGGCCAAUCAUCUUGCUCAAAUUUGAUAAAAUUUGAAAUACCCUCAGUUAUGCCAAGUAGGCAUGUUGCCCAUCGGCUCCUUGCUUAUCCUCACUUAUAUAAUAGUAAUAGAUUCAUAUUACUAAUUUUACUUAUUAUGGGUAGUGGCAUGUAAACUUUCAAAAUUAUCUAAAAAGAUUUAGACUAUCAAUAUAUAAAAGUUAAACUCAUAAAGAACAACACUACAUAUCAUGUCGCUUUAUCAGCCAAAUUGCUUUAGCUUGGAAGAAGAAGAAGACAAAAGAAGAUUCAGGUUAAACUUUGUUACUUCAACUUGGAAAAGAAAAAUACAAAAUGUGAGAUAGCUUCUUUAUAUUUCUAUAUGUUGCUCUUAAUCUCCUACUUAUAGGAAACAGUCACCAACUUAAGAAAAAUACAAAAUGUGAGAUAGCUUCUUUAUAUUUAUUUUUAUAUGGCUCCUAUUUAUAUUCCUACUUAAGAAAUAGUCAUCAACUUGGAAACAAAUUCUUCAAUAUUUCUAUCUGAACUUCCUCCUUCAUCCACAGCUUUUCUAGCCAAUUCCUUCCAUUUCUUUGCAUUUUCCUUAACCAUUUUUCCUUUCUCUUUUUCCAUUACUAUGUUUAUACAUUCUUCAAUAACUUCUCUUCUAACUAAUCCUUUUUCAUCUUGUUUUGCUCUUACUCCCAUCCCCCAAACAUCUUCCGCAAGCUUUGCAUUUGUUGGCUGAUCUGACCAUUGUGGCAUUGCAACCAUUGGUACUCCCAAACUAAUCGCUUCCAAAGUCGAAUUCCACCCACAAUGUGUGAGAAAACACCCUAUUGAUUUAUGUUCCAAGACUUGUAAUUGUGGACACCAUGACACCACUAAGCCUUUAUUCUCACUUGCCAAUUUUAAUUCUUCUAAAAAGUUUUUGGGAAGUUUCGAUUCUUCAGUGGAUCUAACAACCCACAAGAAGUUCUUGUUGCUAUUUUUCAAACCCCAUGCUAAUUCUUCCAUUUGCUCAGGUUCUAGUUUGGUUAAACUUCCAAAUGAUACAUAUACUACUGAGCUGAUUGGUUGGUGAUUUAACCAGUUUAGGCAUUCAUUUGUCAUUGGCUUGAAGAUACUUAGGCCAUAUUCUGUGUCAUUUGGUAGCCUCUUGUCUAGGUAUAUUGAUGGUAUAGUUGGUCCAAUUGUCUUGAUUGGAUAAACCUUGGACAUCCAAUCAGUUACCUACAUGUCAACAAAUUAGAAGAAGGAUGAGAUUUCAUGUAACAAUUUAAACAGUGUGUGUGUAUAACUUAGAUGGCUGAAAAAUUAACUCCAAUGUGUACUAUUUAUUUAUUUAUUCUAAUGUAUUUUUCCUACCACAAUACCUCAAGUAUGAAUACUGUUACACUGGUAAAAACUGUGGAUGAAUAAAUAUCCUGUGGACAAGACCGGCUUUGGAAAAAGUUAUAAUUGUAGUAGUACUUUAAGUUUUUACCAAGUACUACUUCUGGUCCAUAUUACCAUCUGCGUUUAAGAAACACAUGCAAUGGUCUUAGUAUAAGAUUAUGUCUAAACUGCACUUUAUUUCUUUUAGAUAUCUCACUUCAUUAACACUUCACUAAUUGGAGCAAUAAGGCUGUUAAACUGGUAUAGUGAAUCAGAGUGUUGUAUUUUUCUAUGCAGCCAAUUGGCAAAGUUAACAGAAAAAUAGAAGACAAAAAUAGAAAAUAUUCUCUCUUACCUCUUUCUCCAAUUCAUAGAAACUGUUGAUUAGGACCCAAUCUAUUUUCUCAAGAUUUGAGAAUUGAUUCACCAACAUUUCAAGUGCUCUUGCUGAUUCAGGAGUAGAAACAAAACUAGGUACAUCUGAACUCUCAAUUGUUACUAAUCCAGGAAUUGAGAUUUCUUCAUCAACUUCAGUAGGUGGAAGUUUUAGAAUCCCUUUAUGUACAUGAUAAUAAAUAUUAUCCACUGCACAAGAUUGUGUGAAAAAUGCAGCACAAACUAAUCCAUACUUCUUUGCCACUUCUACAGCCCAAGGAAGAAAUGGAUCAUAAACAAUGCAAUUCACAGGACAACCACGAGUCGUUAACGUUUCAAUAAGCUGAGACAGAGUGUCAGAGCCAAUUUCUUUGAAUCUUGUAGUAUAGGCCGCGAAGCUUUCCGCUUGGU
This 15816-nucleotide long non-coding RNA is filed under the name Nicotiana benthamiana. RNAcentral's name for it is "long non-coding RNA (NBEN_LNC006625)". The record is from RNAcentral. Lineage: Eukaryota; Viridiplantae; Streptophyta; Magnoliopsida; Solanales; Solanaceae.